AGAACGAACGCUGGCGGCGUGGAUAAGACAUGCAAGUCGAACGGGCUUAAUUUUAGAGCAAUCUAGGGUUGAGCCAGUGGCGAACGGGUGCGUAACACGUGAGUCAUCUGCCUGAAAGUGGGGGAUAGCUCGCCGAAAGGCGAAUUAAUACCGCAUGUGGUUGUGAAACCAAAGCCGGGGCAACCUGGCGCUUUUAGAGGAGCUCGCGGCCUAUCAGCUUGUUGGUGAGGUAACAGCUUACCAAGGCAACGACGGGUAGCUGGUCUGAGAGGACGACCAGCCACACUGGAACUGAGACACGGUCCAGACACCUACGGGUGGCAGCAGUCGAGAAUUUUUCUCAAUGGGGGAAACCCUGAAGGAGCGACGCCGCGUGGAGGAUGAAGGCUUUCGGGUUGUAAACUCCUGUCAUUUGGGAACAAGUCUUACGUUAACUGCGUGGAGAUUUGAUAGUACCGAAGAGGAAGAGACGGCUAACUCUGUGCCAGCAGCCGC
Molecule: ribosomal RNA, 495 nt
Filed under: uncultured bacterium
Lineage: Bacteria
Description: SSU rRNA
Rfam family: Bacterial small subunit ribosomal RNA
Source: RNAcentral